UGACGUUAGCGGCGGACGGGUGAGUAACACGUGGGUAACCUACCUAUAAGACUGGGAUAACUUCGGGAAACCGGAGCUAAUACCGGAUAAUAUUUCGAACCGCAUGGUUCGAUAGUGAAAGAUGGCUUUGCUAUCACUUAUAGAUGGACCUGCGCCGUAUUAGCUAGUUGGUAAGGUAACGGCUUACCAAGGCAACGAUACGUAGCCGACCUGAGAGGGUGAUCGGCCACACUGGAACUGAGACACGGUCCAGACUCCUACGGGAGGCAGCAGUAGGGAAUCUUCCGCAAUGGGCGAAAGCCUGACGGAGCAACGCCGCGUGAGUGAUGAAGGUCUUCGGAUCGUAAAACUCUGUUAUUAGGGAAGAACAAACGUGUAAGUAACUGUGCACGUCUUGACGGUACCUAAUCAGAAAGCCACGGCUAACUACGUGCCAGCAGCCGCGGUAAUACGUAGGUGGCAAGCGUUAUCCGGAAUUAUUGGGCGUAAAGCGCGCGUAGGCGGUUUUUUAAGUCUGAUGUGAAAGCCCACGGCUCAACCGUGGAGGGUCAUUGGAAACUGGAAAACUUGAGUGCAGAAGAGGAAAGUGGAAUUCCAUGUGUAGCGGUGAAAUGCGCAGAGAUAUGGAGGAACACCAGUGGCGAAGGCGACUUUCUGGUCUGUAACUGACGCUGAUGUGCGAAAGCGUGGGGAUCAAACAGGAUUAGAUACCCUGGUAGUCCACGCCGUAAACGAUGAGUGCUAAGUGUUAGGGGGUUUCCGCCCCUUAGUGCUGCAGCUAACGCAUUAAGCACUCCGCCUGGG
This 804-nucleotide ribosomal RNA is filed under the name Staphylococcus sp. 4-C-237-7. RNAcentral's name for it is "bacterial SSU rRNA". It matches the Rfam family "Bacterial small subunit ribosomal RNA", at positions 87 to 877 of the family's 1533-position model. The record is from RNAcentral. Lineage: Bacteria; Bacillati; Bacillota; Bacilli; Caryophanales; Staphylococcaceae.